This 292-nucleotide ribosomal RNA is filed under the name uncultured bacterium. Its description in RNAcentral is "partial 16S ribosomal RNA". It matches the Rfam family "Bacterial small subunit ribosomal RNA", at positions 505 to 796 of the family's 1533-position model. The record is from RNAcentral.
GUGUCAGCAGCCGCGGUAAUACGAAGGGGGCUAGCGUUGUUCGGAUUUACUGGGCGUAAAGCGCACGUAGGCGGAUUGUUAAGUCGGGGGUGAAAUCCUGGAGCUCAACUCCAGAAUUGCCUUCGAUACUGGCUUUCUAGAGGCUGGAAGAGGUUAGUGGAAUUCCCAGUGUAGAGGUGAAAUUCGUAGAUAUUGGGAAGAACACCAGUGGCGAAGGCGGCUAACUGGUCCAGAUCUGACGCUGAGGUGCGAAAGCGUGGGGAGCAAACAGGAUUAGAAACCCCCGUAGUCC